CCUACGGGAGGCAGCAGUAAGGAAUAUUGGUCAAUGGACGCAAGUCUGAACCAGCCAUGCCGCGUGAAGGAUGAAGGUCCUCUGGAUUGUAAACUUCUUUUGUAUGGGACGAAACCCUCGUUUUCUAACGGGAUUGACGGUACCAUAGGAAUAAGCACCGGCUAACUCCGUGCCAGCAGCCGCGGUAAU
This 189-nucleotide ribosomal RNA is filed under the name uncultured bacterium. Its description in RNAcentral is "partial 16S ribosomal RNA". It matches the Rfam family "Bacterial small subunit ribosomal RNA", at positions 338 to 524 of the family's 1533-position model. The record is from RNAcentral.